This is a non-coding RNA of Pelobates cultripes (western spadefoot toad), 168 nucleotides long. Lineage: Eukaryota; Metazoa; Chordata; Amphibia; Anura; Pelobatidae. The record is from the annotation of a GenBank genome assembly.
GCAGACACAUUCCAGCCAAUCAGCAGCAGACCCUCCCUCCCUGACCCUCCCACCUCCUGGACAGCAUCCAUUUUACAUUCAUUGUGAAGCUGCAUUCUUAGUGAGGUGGCCAGGAGGUGGGAGGGUCUGGGAGGGAGGGUCUGCUGCUGAUUGGCUGGAAUGUGUCUG